This 98-nucleotide non-coding RNA is filed under the name bovine gut metagenome. Its description in RNAcentral is "SAM riboswitch (S box leader)". It matches the Rfam family "SAM riboswitch aptamer (S box leader)". From Rfam's summary of the family: The SAM riboswitch is found upstream of a number of genes which code for proteins involved in methionine or cysteine biosynthesis in Gram-positive bacteria. The record is from RNAcentral.
CUUAUCAAGAGUGACUGAGGGAACAGGCCCUAUGAAGUCCGGCAACCUGCUUUUUUUGCAAGGUGCCAAAUCCUGCGGUAUAUAUGCCGAAAGAUGAG